Molecule: ribosomal RNA, 466 nt
Filed under: uncultured bacterium
Lineage: Bacteria
Description: partial 16S ribosomal RNA
Rfam family: Bacterial small subunit ribosomal RNA
Source: RNAcentral
GAUGAACGCUGGCGGCGUGCUUAACACAUGCAAGUCGAACGAUGAAGCCCAGCUUGCUGGGUGGAUUAGUGGCGAACGGGUGAGUAACACGUGAGUAACCUGCCCUUAACUCUGGGAUAAGCCUGGGAAACUGGGUCUAAUACCGGAUAGGAGCGUCCACCGCAUGGUGGGUGUUGGAAAGAUUUAUCGGUUUUGGAUGGACUCGCGGCCUAUCAGCUUGUUGGUGAGAUAAUGGCUCACCAAGGCGACGACGGGUAGCCGGCCUGAGAGGGUGACCGGCCACACUGGGACUGAGACACGGCCCAGACUCCUACGGGAGGUAGCAGUGGGGAAUAUUGCACAAUGGGCGCAAGCCUGAUGCAGCGACGCCGCGUGAGGGAUGACGGCCUUCGGGUUGUAAACCUCUUUCAGUAGGGAAGAAGCGAAAGUGACGGUACCUGCAGAAGAAGCACCGGCUAACUACGUG